This is a long non-coding RNA of Bradysia coprophila, 1269 nucleotides long. The record is from RefSeq and is a predicted model, not a curated record. NCBI's taxonomy places the organism in Eukaryota, Metazoa, Arthropoda, Insecta, Diptera, Sciaridae.
CAAACUAUGAUAAGAUAACUAUAAAUAUAAAUAGAUCGUUUGCGUGCAUUGUAACCGGCAAUCUAUUUGCAAAGAUACAAUAUAUGACCUAGGGUCUUAAGUCAGUCACUGGGAGGCGGAAGUGAAGGUGUUAGCAACACUUUUUUUGGCAAUUUUUUUUUCACAUUCCGAAUUAAACUAUUUUCUACGUAUCGAAAACCGAUGCUAUCCAGGAAUCUGUCAGUUAUACCAACAAUAGCAAGUAGAAGUCUCCAGUCUAUAUCCCAGCCAUGCAACUUUACAACACCAGCAUUAUGCAUGAACUCUCUUGCCGCGCGAACGUUAACAACCAAAUCGUUAAAUAAAUCCUUAGAUUUGUUUACGAAUUCGGAUAAGCCGAUAACGUUAACCGGAAAGGGACCACUUCAAAUAAGUUUAAAUGAAGAGAGACCGUUGACAAUUAUUCUUGCCUGGCUAAUGUCGCAACAGAAGCAUAUCCAGAAAUAUGCGAAAUAUUAUCUAGACAAUGGAUUUGAUGUUCUCACUGUGAAAACAACUCCAUGGCAACUAUUAUGGCCUGUUGGUGGAAGUCAGGUCGUUGCCAAUGAUCUUCUAACAUUUCUGCAUCAAAAUCCAAAUUACUAUUUCCAUGGUCGUUCAUGGAUUUUCUGUCGGUGCGUAUUUAUGGGGUGAAACGAUGGUAAAGAUGACCGAAGAUAUGGUAAAAUAUGGUCCGACAGUACGCCGGAUCUGCGGGCAAAUUUGGGAUUCACCGGUUGACUAUUCUGAAAUUCCGAUAGGUGUGCCUAAGUCAGUGUUUCCGACGAACACUUUUCUCAGAAAUGCUCUAGAGCGGUAUAUUGUUUUUCAUAUGAAGAACAUGAAGACAUCGACUAAAUGUCAUCUAAAGGCAACAGAUCAGUUUUAUGAUACAAUUAUUCCUGCUCCAGCAAUGUUUCUGUUUUCGCUCAAUGACCCUAUGGUGUCGCUUAGAAGUGUUGAAACCUGCACGGAGUCAUGGCAGAAAAAGGGUUUGACAGUGAACUUACGGGCAUGGGACGAACCACCACACGUUGGAAUUUUUCAACGACAUCCGGAAGAGUAUCAAGAUGAGGUGAAAAAGUUCAUGGAAAGACAUGUCUUUAAGAAUAAUUGCGGAGGAAAUAAGUUUAAGGAAGCGAUGGCUGUCUGAUUUUGUUAAAAUCUGGUAAAAUUUAUACGGCGCUUUCAACGCUAAAAAAACCGAAAAUUUAAAUUUUGAAGAAACCAAUCAAAGUUUUAAAACUUGAA